GCAAGCACGGCCGCCCCCACCUCCCUCGGGUGGUAGAAGCGCGGCCGCCCCCAUCUCCCUCCCCGGCAGAAGCACCGACCCCAGCCAACGACGCGCCACAACCAUGACCCCAACCGGAGACAUGCUGCACCGCCUGCCGGAGCACCUCGGGGUCGCCAGAUCUAGCAAGGGUCCUUCACCUCCCUCCACUCGCCGGCGACCAUGAGUCCGCUUCCGGAUUGGGUGCUAUGCUGUAGUUGGAGGAGGUAUUGAACUUCAGAUGGAGAAGGGCAUGACCUGCAGCUGGCUGCGCGCAACCGCCGUCCCACGCCAUGGAUCGAGCAGCCGCCAUCCCCAGCAGGCCCCGAGACGGAUCCAUGCCGCUCCUCCCCUUCCCGGUCGAUGCCACUAGCAUAGCUCGGACGGGAACCUCCUCUCAGGUGUUAUCAUCGUAUCAACUAGGGAGAAGUCCAAAGACAGGGGCGCAUGCAGGAAUCGCUCAUCACCGGUGAUUCGUUCCAAGGGACAUCGCCCCAAACGGCGCCCGCUGGUGCACCAAUAGCAGCCCAGUGAGAUACAAAAGUGCGGAUGAUGCUUACUUCCGUCCACCAUGCCUCGCUACGGCGGCGCUUGGAUCCCACCAUCGUGCCACUGGAUCCUCCGCCUUCAAGCCCCUGCAUCUCCAGUGAGCGCUGUGCGCGUACGGGUCCUGAUCCAGUGCAUGUGUCUUCUAUCCAGCAUGUCCCAGCCGCCGUCAUACAAUGCUGCUCCAGCCGCUGCUUUGGCAGUCCAAGUGCCCCACUGAAGUCCGUCCGAGUUCAUCUGUUCGUGCUCCUUCGUGUCGAAGCUUCUGCCAGCAGUAGUGCAGAUAUCUGAAGACCAUUUGGUGUGUCUUCAGCAAACGUUGCGUCGAGCCACUGGCACAUGUUCGCAUCCUCCAUCAUCUCGCUUUUCUACUAUUCCUCAUGUUCUAGCCAUUGGCACAUAUGCAAAGAAAUUGGUGUUUUGGUCUGUUGGUUUCAGUUUAACAGGAGCUUCAGUAAUGGAAAACUUGAGUUUUCUUCCAAGUUUAUCUCGAAAAUGCAUGACAGCCGACGGUCCAUUUAAUCAGAGAUGAAAUACUUUUAGAAGCAAACGAAUGUAAGGCCCUCUCCCCGGGUGGUUUUUACCAGGCGAUGUACUCAUGUCUAGUGCCAUCAGUGUUCACUCAGGGGUGUAUUCCUUUUCUUCAGUUUUGUAUAUAUAGUCGUAGAACUAUGUAACUUGGUCUAAGUACGUAGGUACAGAAUGAGAGGAGGGCCUUCUACUCAGACCGGCCGGCCACUUCUUCAGACUGAUGUUCACAUCUACUCCAGCUAGCACCACUCCUGAAGUGCCCCAAUCAUUGCCGUGCCAAAGAAUAGCCGAUUGUUCGCCCAUAUUUUUUUUCUCUUCUGUAUACACUGCAUGUGAUCUCUGCAUGUUUCUAUGAUUAUAAAGUGUUGCCGUUUGUUGCUGCUGAA
This is a long non-coding RNA of Triticum dicoccoides, 1481 nucleotides long. RefSeq lists it as uncharacterized. The record is from RefSeq and is a predicted model, not a curated record. Lineage: Eukaryota; Viridiplantae; Streptophyta; Magnoliopsida; Poales; Poaceae. The transcript has 2 exons.